RNAcentral lists this ribosomal RNA (291 nucleotides) under uncultured bacterium. RNAcentral describes it as "partial 16S ribosomal RNA". The record is from RNAcentral.
GGACUACUGGGGUUUCUAAUCCUGUUUGCUCCCCACGCUUUCGCGCCUCAGCGUCAGUUAUGAGCCAGAAAGUCGCCUUCGCCACUGGUGUUCCUCCACAUCUCUACGCAUUUCACCGCUACACGUGGAAUUCCACUUUCCUCUCUCACACUCAAGUGAACCAGUUUCCAGUGCGAACCGGGGUUGAGCCCCGGGCUUAAACACCAGACUUAGUUUACCGCCUGCGCGCGCUUUACGCCCAAUAAUUCCGGACAACGCUUGCCCCCUACGUAUUACCGCGGCUGCUGGCAC